Molecule: ribosomal RNA, 572 nt
Filed under: Pantoea sp. YK41(2011)
Lineage: Bacteria; Pseudomonadati; Pseudomonadota; Gammaproteobacteria; Enterobacterales; Erwiniaceae
Description: bacterial SSU rRNA
Rfam family: Bacterial small subunit ribosomal RNA
Source: RNAcentral
GGCUUCCGGAGCUAACGCGUUAAGUCGACCGCCUGGGGAGUACGGCCGCAAGGUUAAAACUCAAAUGAAUUGACGGGGGCCCGCACAAGCGGUGGAGCAUGUGGUUUAAUUCGAUGCAACGCGAAGAACCUUACCUACUCUUGACAUCCAGAGAAUUUAGCAGAGAUGCUUUGGUGCCUUCGGGAACUCUGAGACAGGUGCUGCAUGGCUGUCGUCAGCUCGUGUUGUGAAAUGUUGGGUUAAGUCCCGCAACGAGCGCAACCCUUAUCCUUUGUUGCCAGCGAUUCGGUCGGGAACUCAAAGGAGACUGCCGGUGAUAAACCGGAGGAAGGUGGGGAUGACGUCAAGUCAUCAUGGCCCUUACGAGUAGGGCUACACACGUGCUACAAUGGCGCAUACAAAGAGAAGCGACCUCGCGAGAGCAAGCGGACCUCAUAAAGUGCGUCGUAGUCCGGAUCGGAGUCUGCAACUCGACUCCGUGAAGUCGGAAUCGCUAGUAAUCGUGGAUCAGAAUGCCACGGUGAAUACGUUCCCGGGCCUUGUACACACCGCCCGUCACACCAUGGGAGUGG